CCCUUAGAUGUUCUGGGCCGCACGCGCGCUACACUGACUGACUCAACGAGUGUACAACCUGCUUCGACAGAAGUGGGUAAUCUUUUGAAAUUCAGUCGUGAUGGGGCUAGAUUAUUGCAACUAUUAAUCUUCAACGAGGAAUGCCUAGUAAGCGCGAAUCAUCAGUUCGCGUUGAUUACGUCCCUGCCCUUUGUACACACCGCCCGUCGCUCCUACCGAUUGAAUGAUUUAGUGAGGACUUCGGACUGGGACCGAUGCGGCUUUCGGGCUGCGUCGGUAUUCUGGAAAGAUGUCCAAACUGUNUNAUUUAGNGGAAGUAAAANUCGUANCA
This 331-nucleotide ribosomal RNA is filed under the name uncultured eukaryote. RNAcentral's name for it is "partial 18S ribosomal RNA". It matches the Rfam family "Eukaryotic small subunit ribosomal RNA", at positions 1470 to 1796 of the family's 1831-position model. The record is from RNAcentral.